Molecule: ribosomal RNA, 404 nt
Filed under: uncultured bacterium
Lineage: Bacteria
Description: bacterial SSU rRNA
Rfam family: Bacterial small subunit ribosomal RNA
Source: RNAcentral
UGGGGAAUAUUGGACAAUGGGCGCAAGCCUGAUCCAGCCAUGCCGCGUGAGUGAUGAAGGCCCUAGGGUUGUAAAGCUCUUUCGCCGGUGAAGAUAAUGACUGUAGCCGGUAAAGAAGCCCCGGCUAACUUCGUGCCAGCAGCCGCGGUAAUACGAAGGGGGCUAGCGUUGUUCGGAAUUACUGGGCGUAAAGCGCGCGUAGGCGGACAUUUAAGUCAGGGGUGAAAUCCCGGAGCUCAACUCCGGAACUGCCUUUGAUACUGGAUGUCUUGAGUGUGAGAGAGGUAAGUGGAAUUGCGAGUGUAGAGGUGAAAUUCGUAGAUAUUCGCAGGAACACCAGUGGCGAAAGCGGCUUACUGGCUCACAACUGACGCUGAGGUGCGAAAGCGUGGGGAGCAAACAGG